Molecule: long non-coding RNA, 337 nt
Filed under: Fukomys damarensis (Damara mole-rat)
Lineage: Eukaryota; Metazoa; Chordata; Mammalia; Rodentia; Bathyergidae
Description: lncRNA (ENSFDAG00000033178.1)
Source: RNAcentral
CAGAGACCCUUGAGGAGGAAGGGUCCCACAGUUCAAAGACAGCAGAGGCCCAGCAAGAUGAAGACCAGGUGGAAAGGGACGGUAGAUGGCGUGGAGGAGGUGGAGGAAAUGAGGCCAAAUUGUCUUCUGGUCACAGCCAAGACUCUGCUCCAGAACAUAGGAGGGUACCCGCCCGGAGUGCACCCCAGAGACGCGGACUCUGGCUGCAGCCGAUGCUGACCACAGAUCACCUUACAGGAGAAGAAAGUCGCGCUCCUCGGAUCUGUGCAGGAACAGGGAGUAGCAACUGACGGGCGGUAGUUAGACGUGUGCUGUGUGAUUAAAGCAUCUAAAAAGC